Molecule: ribosomal RNA, 109 nt
Organism: Oncorhynchus kisutch (coho salmon)
Lineage: Eukaryota; Metazoa; Chordata; Actinopteri; Salmoniformes; Salmonidae
Source: Ensembl
GCUUACGACUACACCUGCCUGAGUACGUCUGAUCUCGGAAGCUAAGUAGGGUCGGGCCUGUUUAGUACUUGGAUGGGUGACCGCCUGGGAAUACCAGGUGCUGUAAGCU